GUUUCAGCUGCAGAUAAAAGCAGCUGAUGAACCAUGUGGGUGUUCUGUUUCACUGUGGCUUGUCCGGCCCCGCUGCUUCUGAAAAAGGGCCAGAAGGUUGCGUACUUCUGGUGUAACGAAGUUUGAAAAGCACUGCUUUAAGAUGGACUGCUGGGCAAACUGUAGCAUGCUUCAGACUUCCUCACCUACUUCACACUUUUCCUUUCAGACGUGGCAACAUUUCACUGCUGAAUCUUCUCCGAACAGUAGUUGCCAGCAAUAAAAGAUCUACAAUUUCUGCUUCCCAAAACUCUAAGUUUCAUCCUCAUUUCUUCUGAGCUGUAAUUAACGCCCUUAAGUAAACUUAUUUCCCCAA
Alligator mississippiensis (American alligator) is the source of this 355-nucleotide long non-coding RNA. RefSeq lists it as uncharacterized. Lineage: Eukaryota; Metazoa; Chordata; Crocodylia; Alligatoridae. The transcript has 3 exons. The record is from RefSeq and is a predicted model, not a curated record.